UCUCUCUACUUUCAUUGGAGAGAGUGCGGCUGGGGAAGAUGGGUUUUGGACAGGGUCGCGUCAGGUGGUGCGUGAUUGGGAUUGCCAGAGUUUGGCGUGGCGGCAAUGGGUUGUUGGUGCGUGGUCGGAUCUAGGACUCGUGGCCGGGGGUUUGUUUGGGCUAGGGUUAGUUGGGUUCGCAGUGGUGGGCCGGAGAUGGAGCAGGAAGCUGCUGUGAUUUGGGUUGUCGAGGCUGUUGUGGGGUUUGCCAGAACGGGGUUUGCAGUUUGGGGAUGGGAAUCGAAAAUUGGACAGGGGAUGGGGUAGGGGUUUGGGGUUUAGACAGGGGUUUGCAGAUCCUUCCGUUCACAGAUCUCUGGUUGCUAGAAACAGAUACAUGGGAAGGAUGCUUGAAUAGUCUAUUAUACUUCAUUAAGGAGGAGAUGAAAGGGGCUGAUAGUUGGGGUUUCCAUAGGGGUGAUUAUUGGUGCACUUCUGGCUUUAUUUGCUCUGUUUUGUAUAAGUUUUCAUAAGAGGCACACACAAAUAGGGAGUAGCAGUUCAUGGAGGGCUUCAACCCUCCCCAUGCGUGCCUAUGGUGCUGAUUCCUCUACAGUUUUGUUGGACUCAACCAUUAGUCAGGAGUCACCGAAACCAUCUGAAGGGAAUGGCAUAUCCUUAUGGCUAGAAGGACCUAAGAGGAAGAAUGUAGUCUCGGUGUCGACAUUGCACUAAAACCAUGUUUGAGAGAAAAGGUCGCCAUCUACUACAUUGGCCGACUAAAGAAGAAUGGACUGAUAUUUGACUCUAAUAUUGGCUAAAGGCCUUUUAAAGUUGUCUAGGUAAUGUUAUAGUUCACCUAAUCUAUAAUGCAAAGCAAAUCUUUUUCUUUCUUUAUUUGUUUCUUCUUCUUCUUCUUCUUUCUUUUAUGUGGUUUAGUUCGUGCAGUCUGGGGACCGAGCUUACACGAGAUGACCGUCGGAAGCUUUAUUCGUGUUUUGGUUCAUUUUUGGUUCUUCUUUCAGGAUGCCGGGAUCAAGGUUUGCUUUCUGAGGAAACAUAUUUCCGUUUAUGCCACUACGCAUGUGUUUUAGUAUGUCUUCUUUUGGUAGCAUUAGUUUGAUUGGUUAUCUUGGGGGCAUAUGUUAAUGAAUGAACUUUACUUUCCUUCUCCAGACAACUUGCUAUUGUAGUUGUUGUUCCAUAUGGUGUUGGAUCCUUAAAUUCGGUAAGCAUGAUAAAUUUUAAAAUUACAUUGUUGGUGCUUCUAAGCAUCACCUGUAGGAACAUGAAACUUUUAUUUGCAUUUCUAAGUAUCACUUCUUCUCAAUUUUCUUAUUUAUCGGGGAAAACCUCUACUCAGUAUUUGCCUUCUUCAACAUGGAAGAAUAGGCAGUCAAAUGUUGCAACUGGUGACCAUGCCCUACCAGCUGCAGUUGCAAAGCUUCUGGAUGGCCUUUCCAUUGCAACUGGUGACCAUGCCCCCUUUUUUUUUUUUUUUUUAAUGAUGAUGAUGAUGAUCGUCAUCAUCAUCCCAGCUAUUUGGGAUCAACUUUACAAAAUCGUGUUCACUUGUUAAUCCUAAUGCUUUAUCCUUGGCAAAAGAACAAGCCUUCAUAAGCCUUCUUUCAUCCUUUAAGUCUUUUUUUUUUUUUUCUAAACUGAAGACAUGGAUGAAAAUUUUUCUACGUUGGUAAAUCUGCAUGCAUGAAUAUUUCUAAGAAGAAUAGGAAUAACACUACAUAAUGCAUAUUUUUCUUAGAUACAAACAAACCUUCCUAAGUUUGGUCCUGGGCCCAAAAAACAGGGCAAUCAAUGACUCAAGUGGGCCGCACAAGUAGAAACAGUUGGGAGAGUAUGCUUACCCUUGAUUUUUGUUGCACCCACCCAUGGUGUGCCAUCAUCUGGGGAAGAUGUUUCAUAUCAAUGGAUUAGAUGGCAUAUACACAACAUGGUGGGCAUCCACUCAUUUUUUCUUGAUGGUAUGGCCCAUCUAGGAGAUGGAUUGACAUGAUUUUUUGGUGGUUGACCAAACGAGGAAGGGCGUGUCUGAUCCAUGUCCUCAGGUCAAGAUUUUAAACCAUGACAUUAACCUUGUGCAGAAUCAAAGAUUUGGGAGUUGAUUUUGUGAUCAAAUGAUCCACAUGGUGAAGUGCUUCUUGAAAUACUUGAUGUUGUGAUAUGUCAGGGUGUCAAACUGUCAAUCCUCUGAGCUAGUCUAGACACUGUCCACUUUAGACAUCACCAAUUGAUGUUGUGAUAUGUCAGGAUGUCAAACUGCAAAAUUGGUGUUCCUUCAUUGCGAGACAAAUUCAACCAUUUGGCAGUCCUUCAGUCUCUUUGAAACAUAUUGGAUUAUGCCGAGGACGGGAUGAUCUUUUUAAGGUUGGGAUGAUGGCAUUUUUAUGGUUCUCUGUUAAGUUUGGCAAAGUGGCCGAUGUAAUAGUUAUGAGAAUGCUAUAGUUUAUUCAUGUUGAUUCACAAACGCGAGGUAUACUGUUCUCGAGGGAUUAGUCUUUCAAUGUUAGUGAAUUCAAUAACCUGCUUGUGAAAAGCCAUUGCCAUGCAUUGAAACAUUUCUCCAUGAAGGUUUUCCAAGAAGCACUUGACCCCCUUUUGAUGCAUCUAAUUACAUUCUUGGAAUCUCCUUCUAUCUGGAAACACUUUUGUAAAAGCAACAAUGGAAGCUUUAGUCUAUUCUUUGCAUUUAUGCAUUUCGUUCAUGCAUCCGAAGAUCUGUCUUGAUUCAUUUUCUUGAUGGGUCUCUAGCAUACAUGUCCAACUAAUUCUUAAUGUAGGUAAAGAACAGUUGGUUUGUUCGAGGAGGCUUGACACCUUUGUGCAUCGAUGCUGUUCUGGUGAGCUUCGUGCUUAUUUGGUAUUGAUCCUUGUAAUAGUCUCUGACGUCCCAAACAAUGCUGAAUAUCUUUCUUAUGAAAUGUACCAUUUUUCUAAUGUUAUGUUGGUUAGGGAUAUGAAAUGAUAAGAGGAUGCAAAAUAGGUAGAACUUCUAACCUACAGAGGGUUUCAUGCAUUUCUUGUUGAUAGACUGGGACUAUGUGGAAGUUUUUGGUCUGGUUCUAGUCUCCUGACUGAAGCUACUGGCUCUGGACUGGUACUUCUCUUGAAUUUUGAUGCCCACUAAUGUUUUUCAUGUGUAAAGUUAGGAAAAUUACAGUCGAGCACCUAUAUUUGUGUAAUUACAGUUAUACACCUAUAUUUAUACUCACCCGGAUUGAUCACCCACUUCCAAUUUCUUGAAUUGAAGCAGUGCAGAAUUAAAUGAAGUUCAACCAAGCAUGGUGUAUGUUCCCCUCCCCUCAGCUGCAUGGGUAUAUCAGAAGCAUUUUUUUUCCUUAUUGCAGACUUGCAGUUGUGCUAGGUGGUGUUGGUUUUAGGAAACUGCAUCAAAGGAGAUGAAAAGAUGCUACUCGAUGAAUACCUGCUAAACAAGAGUUUAGAUUUUCUGUCAUUGGUUUGUCCAUAUAACUAUGAAAAACGAAGAAAGUUGCUAGAUUGGGAGAAGCGCUUCAACAUCAUCUUAGGGAUCACUCGAGGCCUUAUUAUCUUCACCAAGAUUCAAGGU
Magnolia sinica is the source of this 3565-nucleotide long non-coding RNA. RefSeq lists it as uncharacterized. NCBI's taxonomy places the organism in Eukaryota, Viridiplantae, Streptophyta, Magnoliopsida, Magnoliales, Magnoliaceae. The record is from RefSeq and is a predicted model, not a curated record. The transcript is spliced from 5 exons.